This 3271-nucleotide long non-coding RNA is filed under the name Theobroma cacao (cacao). Its description in RNAcentral is "long non-coding RNA (TCAC_LNC001014)". Lineage: Eukaryota; Viridiplantae; Streptophyta; Magnoliopsida; Malvales; Malvaceae. The record is from RNAcentral.
GAUUUGUUAACUUGUAAAGAAUUAUUCUUUUAAUCUCCAAAUUAUCCUUGACAACAUCAUUUACCAACACAGUUCUUCAAUGAUUUUUCCCAUCUCUUGCACAAUAUAAAGUCUUCAUUGGCUACCAUUCAAGCAACCAAAUUCUCUUCUUCUCCCCCUAUUAGAAAUAUGUUGUUUAAGAAAAAAAUAGUCUUGCCAUUUGUGGAGCAAUAACCAUGACAAAAAAAAAGGCAAAGCUUGAAUAGAUAGCGAAUGACAAUGUUAGACGAGUCAACCUCAAGAAAAUGAGGCUAGGAUUAUUGAAGAAAAUGAGUGAGCUAUCUACUUUAUGCAAUGUCCAUGCUUGUGCCAUCAUCUAUGGCCUAAACGAAAUCUAGCCAAUGAUCUGGCCAUCACAUGACAUGGUACAACAAUAGCUUGCACAAUUCCAAAGCUUGUCCGAGUUAGAGUGACUAUAGAAAAUGAUGAACUAAGAAACUUGCCUCAAAGAGCAGGUUAAGAAGGCCAAAGAAUAAUUGAUGAAGUGCGAAAAGAGGAAUAAGGAAAUUGAGAUGGCCUAUCUCAUGCAUCAAAUCAAUCAAGGCAAAGGGCUUGAUGAGCUUAACCUUAAUGAACUGAAUGGGUUGUCUUUGUUUGUGGAUGAAAAGAUAGAGAUAAACGAACGGAUUGAAUUUUUCCAACAUGCUCCUUUUGCUCUCGCAAACACCUUUCCUAUUCCACAUUUUCCUCUUCCUCCCUAAGGCCUUAUAUAAAUGAAACAACCAAAACUAGUAAUGGCAAAACUAACAAUGGUGGAGACUGGAGCACUCCCACAGAGCCCUUGCCGUGGAACCAAUGUUUCAUCGAUAUGAUGAACAAAAAUGAACCCAAAUUUGCCAGCGAUAGUAGCAUAAGGAGUGAUAUAGGCUUACCAUAUCACCCACAGCUAAGAGUGUUGUCACAACCCGGAACUCCCCUCGAGCCCGUGACAACCGUCGCGAUGCCCUGAUGGGCACUCAUAUCCCGGAAUGCCAACCGAAACCCCGCAAGGCUUAAUAUCAGUUUAUCAUUUCCCCCGGUGAGUAACCGUUGCUAAAUUUUAUGUUCUAAAGGAUUUUGAGCUAUUUCCAACUUAAAACUGAUAAAAUAAAAUUUUUUGUCUCAUAGGGGUAUUUUGGUAAUUUUCCACUAAAAAUUUUGAAACUAGUUAAAAAUGUAGUAAACAAGUACCAAUCGCAUAAUUCACAAUUAAAAAUAAGUUUAGGCAUCUAAAACCUUUAUUCAAAAUGAAAUUAUAAUUAUUUGAAUAUAAUAAGAAGAUAAAAUGAAAUAUUCACUAAAAUAUUUUAUUCUCUUAUAAACAGAAAUUUUUGAGUUAUGCGUAAAUACUUUUUGUAACAAAAAAUAAAUAAAUUCAAUCAUACUGUAGCACAAUAAACUAUUAAAUUUACAAUAUCAAGUGGGCCUACAAUAACUAGAAUUAAAGAAGCUGUGAACCUACAGUUUGGAAAAUGCAAUCCAAUGGAAAUCUCCGAUGGAACCAGCUAUCUACAGCCUACUCUGAUCCUGAAAUGGGUGGAAAGGAGGGUGGUGAGAUUAUAAAAUCCCAGUGAGUAAACAAACACCAUUUAAAUCAGCUAAAGCCGAGUAAAAGGAGACAAUUAAAAUAUCCCAUCAUUUUAAGUAUUUCACAAUUUGAAAAUUCAUCCCAACCCAUGCAAACGGUUGUAUUUCAUUUAAUUUCUCAUUAGGGCUUAUGACUUUCAUAAACAGUUGGCUCAUGCCAUCAAAUAUACUUGAUGACACCUUGAUCAGAGGCGUACACUCGAGCCCGCCAAGGCUGUUAAAAAUUUUGUAUAUACCUAAAACAUAUUUUUAGUUUAAGAAAACACAGCCGUUCCUUGGCUUUGGCUGAGUUCCCCUUCACGUGGUGGUUUGGCGUGAAGUGAACCCUAAGCUUUACCCCAGGAGAUACCCUACGCUCCUCUCCAUUUGAGGUAAGAAUAUAAUGGGGUUUACCGUGCCCCUCUAAAAGGCUGGUCCACAGAAACCCCCUACUGCAGUGAUUAAUUAAUAUAUAAUCCACCAAUCAAUAAAAUUCAUUCUAGCAUGACAUGGCAAUUAUUAUAAUUCACAGACUUUCAAGGCUAAAUACACAUUUCAUAUAUUUCAACACCAAUACCAAUUCAGCCAUUCAUGCAAAUACUGUCAUAAGCCAUUAGAUUCAUAAAUUUAAUUCAUAACAAGUGGUCUCCAAUUACUCUAUUUUUCAAAAUCAUCAUUCAAUUUUAAAACAAUUUAUAACAUCUUUUCAUGUAGACACAAUUUGUUUGUAAAACUCAAGAUUUACCAUUUAAUUUCAUUUUCAUAAAAUUUCAUCAAAAUCGAUUAAAAAUAUGCUUUAGAUAAUAAAAAUGAUGGUAAGGUUACUCACAGUACUAGGAGUUCGAUAUACUCCUAUUCUCGGUCUUCGGGCACAAUCUCUUUACCCUUGUUAGAGGACUCACCACCUAUACAUCAUACAUGACACGAAUUUCAAUAAAUUGUGUCAAUUUAUCAUAAACUAUUUCAGGCUCUCUAAAUCUAAAUGAAUGUAUGCGAUGGGAUGGGAUGCAAAAUGUCUAAUUAAUCACUUAAAUGUGAUGUUCGACCUAAAUCACACUAUAAUCAGUCUAAUCGGCUAAAAUCUCCAAUUUAACUCCAAAUCAAUUCUUCUCACUUUCUACACUCCAAUUUUACCUAAAUUACCUCAGUGACUGUGAAUGAGAUUCAAUUUAUCAAUCUCGGGUCAAUAAUCACACAUGUCUAUACAUUAGGUAAAAAUUCAAAUUUUCACACCAAAAUUUCCCAUUUAAUUUCUAGCCUCACCAAACAUCAAAUAUCACCCAAAUAUCAUGAAAUAUCAUCAAUUUCAGCCACAAUAUCCUCCCUAGGAAAUUCGGCCAAUAAUGGUGAUGGGGGAAAAUGAAUUCUUUUCUUGUUGUUUUGUUUCUAAAUAUGCUAAACUAACUAAAAACACUAACAUAACUUAUAAUCAAAUCACUCUAACUUCAUUCUCUCUCCAUACACAUUUAGGCAGCCAUGAAUUCACCAUGAAAACAUGAAAUCUAACCAUGGAAAAUAAGGAGAAAAGCAUGGAAAAGGUAGAUCACAAGUCAAAAUCAAGAAAUUUUACCUUUGAUUGCUUGAUUCCUUGAAAUCCCACACUUUUUCUUUAAUUUUCCCACCUAGGUUUCUUGUUUUUCUUUUCCUCUCUUUGUUCUUGCUAUGGCCGGCCACAUGAAGAGAAAAU